GAUGAAGAACGUAGCGAAAUGCGAUAAGUAGUGUGAAUUGCAGAAUUCAGUGAAUCAUCGAAUCUUUGAACGCACAUUGCGCCCCUUGGUAUUCCAUGGGGCUUGCCUGUUCGAGCGUCAUUUGUACCUUCAAGCUCUGCUUGGUGUUGGGUGUUUGUCUCGCCUCUGCGUGUAGACUCGCCUCAAAACAAUUGGCAGCCGGCGUAUUGAUUUCGGAGCGCAGUACAUCUCGCGCUUUGCACUCAUAACGACGACGUCCAAAAGUACAUUUUUACACUCUUGACCUCGGAUCAGGUAGGGAUACCCGCUGAACUUAAGCAUAUCAAUAAGCGGAGGA
RNAcentral lists this unclassified non-coding RNA (337 nucleotides) under soil metagenome. RNAcentral describes it as "partial contains 5.8S ribosomal RNA, internal transcribed spacer 2, and large subunit ribosomal RNA". The stretch from base 1 to 120 matches the Rfam family "5.8S ribosomal RNA", at positions 35 to 154 of the family's 154-position model. The record is from RNAcentral.